Long non-coding RNA from Hyla sarda, 336 nucleotides. RefSeq lists it as uncharacterized. The record is from RefSeq and is a predicted model, not a curated record. Lineage: Eukaryota; Metazoa; Chordata; Amphibia; Anura; Hylidae. The transcript has 3 exons.
CCAGAGUGCAACAGAACAUAUGGCUAUGGCAUGACAGGCAGGUUACAUAGAGGAUCAGACUCCGCUGACAUAGUGAGGAACCAUCUUGGCGUUAAGUUCUGCAGAGAGAAGAUUUAGCUGGACCCCGUGACACAUUUCGGGAUAUAGAAAUUGCACUAAUCGACUAUUGUGAAGACCAUUAACUGCAGCCUGGAUUGAAGCCAUUGUAGCCAUUCUGCCAUUUUUAUUUUAUCUCCCUUAAUUUGUAUUAUGUUAUCAUUAUUAUUGCCCAUAUCAUAAAUAUAUAUACUUAAUUAUUUUUCCUGCUCUAGUAUAAUAUUAGCAAUGGAGGUUGCU